UUCUGGUGACGCCAGAUCGCACAGGAGUGUGGGAUAUCUUGACUGCAAGAAAGUUUACUCAGUCUUCUGAUAAUCAUAGGCCCCAUAAGAUACUACAGAUCUCCAUAGUACGCAAAAGCCUACGUUCAAGCCGAUCUGUGCUUCCUCAAAAGACGUUACAGAUUUAGUCCGGAACAGACAGAGAUGUUUUCCUCGGCGCGCACCAAUGAAGAAGUGGGCAUGAGGAUGGCUCAUUACAUGGUGCGCACAUUUGUUUCAUUUUAUCUUUUGCUGUUUCUAUGAAUUUUCGACUCCGGUAUCGUUCUUAGCAAGCAAACCAGUCUGCGUACAAACCCUCGGAAAUGGAGGAGCAUGCGAUGACAAGGGAGCCUUUCAAGACAUAUCAGAUAUAUUAAAAAUCUACUGUUCCCAAACGCAACAGUGGAUGUACAACGCCUACAAGCUGGUGAAGCGCGAUGUAAAGCAUGCUUCUUUCCUGGAGAGCUGGAACAAAAGAGGUGAGAACACGCACAUGUCACUCAGCUGCGGAUGUCAAAUUUUUUUUGAUCUCUUAGAUUCGGUGUAUGAAAAAAAUUUAUCAAAACUUACUAUGGGCUGUAACCUUGCAGAUUCUGCCAGAACCCUUUGGCCUGAUGAUGUCUCGGACGAUGAUCUGCUGCAUUCCUGGAUCAUGGAGAAUGGAGGAUACGUGCACCCUAAUUUGUACUUGGGGGCAUCUCCGAGGACAAA
This 729-nucleotide long non-coding RNA is filed under the name Coccomyxa subellipsoidea. RNAcentral describes it as "long non-coding RNA (CSUB_LNC000755)". Lineage: Eukaryota; Viridiplantae; Chlorophyta; Trebouxiophyceae; Coccomyxaceae. The record is from RNAcentral.